Long non-coding RNA from Phascolarctos cinereus (koala), 1113 nucleotides. RefSeq lists it as uncharacterized. The record is from RefSeq and is a predicted model, not a curated record. NCBI's taxonomy places the organism in Eukaryota, Metazoa, Chordata, Mammalia, Diprotodontia, Phascolarctidae.
CCCAGACUCAACCACCUCCACAAUCAGGCUCUGCAGCUGUGGGAAGAGGGGAAAAGGGGAUGGGCCAGGGCAGUAUGAGGAUAAAUUUAAACUUGAAGAAGAAAAGAAAAACAGGUGAAACAUGUUGAGUGAAAGCCUCUUAUAUUUGUGUCUCCUAGACUACAGGCCAAUUCACCUACAGUUGGCAGAAAACAAUGGAUACCAGCCCAUACUCACCCAUCAUCCCUUGGAUGUGACCUAUGCUCAAUUCCAGUCAACCUCCUCCUCAGGACCCAUUGAGGCAGGAACAGCUCUACACCCUUGCCAGCCUGAAGAAGCUACAGAAGCAGAGACCUUCAUCCCUUUUCUCAAAUGAAUUUGGGCCCCAGCUUUUUGAGAAGGGAAUGAUGGUAUACUAAUAAAGCUGCCCCCAGCCCCAAUAUUCUAACUUCCUUGUUAGAGUUAAUCACUGAACAGCAAGUCCACUGCUCCUGCUUAGCCACUGCCCCCCCCCCCAAUAAAUAGCCUAACUUCCUCAUAUAUGCUUAUCUGCUCACUAGAACAACAGGUGUGUCCAUGAACUCAUAUUUCUUACAAAAAUAGCAGGCAUGUCCAUGUGAUGGGAACCACUGCCUCUACUUAGCCACUGCUCCCAGAACCAUUCCUCAUAUUUCCCACAGAAACAGCAAGUAUAUCCAUGCACUCAACCACAACCACAUCCAUCCAGUCUCAGACAGGACCACAAUACUCAGCCAAUUAGAAAGCAGCACCACCAGGAUGCCCAAGCAGGAUGUGGACCCCAAAACAAUAGAAGGGACUUUCCCUAAGUAGGCACCUGUGCAGUAAUAGCAAAAGCUGUCCUUUAGGUGAACUUAUGAUGUAGAGUGGCUCAUUAUAUUAUCAUUAUCAUACAUACAUAUCCUCCCAACUGGGUUUUUCUGUUUGCAUUGUGGGAAAUCACAGGCACAAUUCCACUCAGGCUGGGACCUCUUCCCUAUUACCUAAUCCUUUAACAAACCACAAUUUUUGUUAUGUAAUUGCAUCUUUACCCCAUAAAAAUCUGUCUUUCUUUUACUGAAGUUGCUGGUUCCUCUUCGAACUUAGCCCACUUCACGAGAGGUAUCAAUCUCAAUA